RNAcentral lists this long non-coding RNA (203 nucleotides) under Helianthus annuus (common sunflower). Its description in RNAcentral is "sRNA HanXRQr2_Chr04g0179071". The record is from RNAcentral. Lineage: Eukaryota; Viridiplantae; Streptophyta; Magnoliopsida; Asterales; Asteraceae.
UUUAGAGUUUUAUCUUUGGUAAAAAGAAAGUGGCAGUUACAAGCAUCUUCUUCAAAUGGUUGAUCAACAGAAGCUUCCAUGAGCAUGUAGCCAGGAGGAAAAUGGUCUUUCCAUUGUUCCACCAGGAAAUUAAAAGGCUUGUUUAGAGCUGCAAAACUCCCAACCUCCUGCAAUGCAAACUGCUGUAUGUGCAGGAUAAUUUU